This 107-nucleotide small RNA is filed under the name Marmota monax (woodchuck). Lineage: Eukaryota; Metazoa; Chordata; Mammalia; Rodentia; Sciuridae. The record is from RNAcentral.
ACCAGGAGUGGUGGUGCACACCUGUAACCCCUGCAGCUCAGGAGGCUGAGACAGGAGGAUUGCAAGUUCAAAGCCAGCCUCAGCAACUUAGCAAGACCCUGUCUCAA